Macaca mulatta (Rhesus monkey) is the source of this 2933-nucleotide long non-coding RNA. Lineage: Eukaryota; Metazoa; Chordata; Mammalia; Primates; Cercopithecidae. The record is from Ensembl.
GAGAAACGCUCAGUCCCGAAGACAGCUGUCCACAGUUGACCAAAUGUGAGCUGCAGGCUUAUUGCAGUUCCCAGAAGUCUCUGGACUGAGCUGAGCCACUUUCUCUGCCUUGUCUAGAUAUGCUUUGUUUUGGGCAGCCUGACGGCUCUGUGGGCCUGGCCCCUGCCCGGACGAGGGGUCAUGUGCCCUUCUCACCUGAUGGUCUUGACCUGACUUCUAACUUCACUGAGGCAGCCUGGGAAAUCCAGGCUCUCCUCGGAAUUUCAUCUGCCUUUGACUCCGCUCACAGAGUUGAGGUAAGGGUUUUGGGGGGCACCGCACCUGGGAGCAGGAGGUGCUGGGAACAGGGGCCCAGGCAGAGGGCCAGGUCUCCUUCCGGUCAUUUCUGGGGCAUGGAAGGCCUCUUGAGGGUUUUUGCUUAAGGCUUCAAGUUGGCCUUGGCCAGAGUGCACAGUUGGUGCUUAGCGGCUAUGAUGGCCAUGAGAGGGCUUGGGGAGGGAGUCUUUGCAAAGUCAGGGAAAGCCCUCCUCAUUCUUGUGUGAUUUCAGGGGAAAAGAGGAGCACUACCUGACCCCUAAAUUUGCUCCCUCUGUUGCCUCUGCCUUCUCACAAAGGGAUUUCUUUGAAAAAAUAGGGUCUGACAAAAAAUAGCCAUCUUCCCAUCCUAACGGUGGAGUAGCGCUCCACCGCUGCCUCCUCACCCACUCCUCCAGGGAAAGGAAGACUGUUGUCUAUUCAUUUAUCCCUGCCCUGCCAAUCCAUUCUCUGUUAAAGGCUGUUCUAAGUCUGAACCUCUUGAGAGUGCGAAGAGCUGGUGGGGCAGAUCCAAGUGAAGAAAAGGGAGCAUCGCGGCCUGGGCAGGGUUCAGGAGCAAAAACCGUGACGCCCUGAGACUACCCACAGCUGGAAGACUUACCUCUCCUAGGAAUGCAAGGAGAUUCGGAGAGGCUGUGGCCAUGAAAAGGGCUACAGGGUAAGAUCCGAGGACACAGAAACUGCACUUCUCACCCUCUGGUCUUUGCCGGUGCUUCCCAUGGACUGUGCCCAACAGAAAGCCAGAGGUGAGGGGAGCCCAGGAGAUGCAGUCCCCAGGGCUCAGCCUUCCAAGACCAGAGAAAGAACAGAGAAUGGAUUGGCGGGACAGGGAUAAAUGAAUAGACACCAGAGUCUUCCUUUCCCUGGAGGAGUGGGUGAGGAGGCAGUGGUGGAGCGCUACUUCCCCAUUAGGAGUGGGAGACAGGCCAGGUGCGGUGGCUCAUGCUAAUAAUCCCAGCACCUGGGGAGGUGGAGGCGGGCGGAUUACGAGGUUAAGAGAUUGAGACUGUCCUGGCCAACAGGGUGAAACCCUGUCUCUAUUAAAAAUACAAUAAUUAGCCAGGCGUGGUGGCACGUGCCUGUAGUCCCAGCUGCUCGGGAGGCUGAGGCAGGAGAAUCACUUGAACCUGGGAGGCGGAGGUUGCAGUAAGCCGCGAUCGCACCACUACACUCCAACCCAGCAACAGAGCGAGACUCCAUCUCAAAAAAUAAAAAAUAUAAAAAUAAAUAAGGAGUGGGAGACAGAGGCCAAUUUUGGCGCUACUCCACAGGUACAGAAAGCCCCCUUUAUCUGUGGGUUUGCUUUCCACGGUUUCACUUACAUCAACCACAGUUCCAGAAAUAAAUGAUUCAUGUUUGACAUAUGGUCAGAAGGUCAAUAGCAGUCUAACGCCACGUCACGAUGCCUGUGUCAUUCACCUUACUUCAUCUUAUCAUGCAGGCAUUUUAUCAUCUGAUGUCUUCACGAGAAGGGUGAGUGCAGAACAAGAAGGUAUUUUGAGGGAGAGGAGAGAGAGACACACCACAUUCACACAACCCUUAUUAUAGUAUAUUUUACAAUUGUUCAAUUUUAUUUUUAGCUAUCGUGGUUAAGCUCUUAACUGGGCCUAAUUUAUAAGUUAAACUUCAUCAUAGGUGUGUAUACACAGGAAAAAACGUAGUACUGCAUAUAUAAAGUUUGGCACCAUCCACAGGAAUGUAUUCCCCACAAAUAAGAGAGGAAAGACUGUAAAUAAAAGUCAGGAGUGAAUAAAAAGCCCUAUCUAUCUAUCUAUCUAUCUAUCUAUCUAUCUAUCUAUCUAUCUAUCUAUCUAUCUUAAUCUAUCUCUAUCGUGUAUAUCUGUCUACAAAUUCUAGAAGAAAAUCAGACGCCGUCUAGAAUAGCAGCUAAGUGCAGGCUUUAGAACCAGGUCACUGAGUGCUGGCUGGGCCACUCACCAGUUGUGUGAGUUUGAGCUGUUACUUUACCUCUCUGAGGCUCCGUUCCCUCAUUUUGCAGUGGUAGCAAUGGUGGCUGGGAGAGUCAGAUGACUGAGUAUAUGCAAGGUGUUUAGAACAGCUCCUGGCACGUGGUAGGCAGCUAUGUCAACAAUUCUUUUUUUAUUUGUUUGCUAAAAAAAUUUUCUUAUUGUGAAUGAAGACAUUGUCAACUUACAUAUAUCAUUUUUAUUUGGAGUAUAUUUUCACCUUACAGUGGUCUUGAGAAAUUAAAAAAUGCAUUAACUUUAGCUCUAUACAUAACACAACUUAAUAUUAAGGUUGGAUUGGAAAUUUCCCACAUUUAGAUAUUUCCCUGAAAAUCAAAAGACAAUUUAUCAGUUUUACAUAGAAAAAUCUUAAUAAGUAUUUAACUUUUUAAUAAGUUAAAAGAUAAAGACUGGCAAAUAAUCAUAAAUGUCAGAGCAUUAAAGCAGCAUUUUUUCCAUAGGAAUAUAUAAAAUAAAUAUUACCUAUACUUACUCAAUAUUCACAAAAUUAAAGAUAAAUUUUUGUUGAUGGAAGAUGUUUUAAAUACUUUGAUAUGUGGAAAAACUUCAUUAUCUUUAAAAAUCAGGUUCAAAUGCUUUUAAGUUUGAUGCAUGAUAGCAUUUUCUAAAUAAUUCUCAUUACUCUUCUGU